Molecule: long non-coding RNA, 564 nt
Filed under: Homo sapiens (human)
Lineage: Eukaryota; Metazoa; Chordata; Mammalia; Primates; Hominidae
Description: non-protein coding LINC00474:3
Source: RNAcentral
AUGCUGAGAAGCAGAAGCCAGCUAAAGAGACUGAGAAAGUGCUGGUGGUGAAGCACCAGGAAAAUCAACAGAUCAUGCUCUGUGUUAGUGGAUUCACAAGCAACCUGUACUCCUCAAAGAAAGAUGAUAAGAUGAAGGAGAUCUCUAGAACCAGCAACUGGGGCUCUUCCUUCAGUGAAAAAAGUGGGUGUAUGCAGACUCAUCCAUCCAUGAAUCUAGAUUGCAGGGAUGUGACCUAUGUAAUGAACUUGCUACUUAUUGCUCAUCAUCAUCUUCUUCAAUGACAAAAAAGAAAAUAGUAACAAUGAAUACGUCUCUUGGGCAAAAUAAAUAAUGAGAUUGUUACAGCAACCUGAUUUUUGAAAAGAAAAAAGGAACUUCCUCGAACUAAAGCAGUUAAGACCUCGACAUUUGCUCAUAGAAAAAGUCGCUGAGUCGUUUCUAGUUGUGAAGGUGCAAAAGAUGCAGUUAUCCCUUAUGGAAAAUUCCAAGAACUUGUGCCUAAUUUGAGUCAUGCAAACCUGAGUUCUGCAUGACUGAGCUCUGUCACUCAAUGGUUGGGAA